This is a long non-coding RNA of Nicotiana attenuata, 100 nucleotides long. RefSeq lists it as uncharacterized. The record is from RefSeq and is a predicted model, not a curated record. Lineage: Eukaryota; Viridiplantae; Streptophyta; Magnoliopsida; Solanales; Solanaceae. The transcript has 3 exons.
UCGGGUCCUCACUGCCGUUGAGAUUGGCAUGCGCAAUCAUGAAAUUGUGCCUUCUGAGCUCAUUGACCGUAUUGCUUCCCUCAAGCAUGGGGGCUCAUAU